CCUACGGGUGGCAGCAGUGAGGAAUAUUGGUCAAUGGGCGAGAGCCUGAACCAGCCAAGUCGCGUGAGGGAGUACUGCCCUAUGGGUUGUAAACCUCUUUUGUCGGGGAGCAAAAGCCGGACGUGUCCGGCUGUGAGAGUACCCGAAGAAAAAGCAGCGGCGAACCCCGUGCCAGCAGCCGCGGUAAGACGGAGGAUGCGAGCGUUAGCCGGAUUUAGUGGGUUAAACGGGUGCGCAGGCGGAUUUUGAAGUUAGCGGUCAAAGCGUGGGGCUCAACCCCAUCCAGCCGUUGAAACUGGGGAUCUAGAGUGUGCGAGAGGUAUGCGGAAUGCGUGGUGUAGCGGUGAAAUGCAUAGAUAUCACGCAGAACCCCGAUUGCGAAGGCAGCAUACCGGUGCACAACUGACGCUCAGGCACGAAAGCGUGGGUAUCGAACAGGAUUAGAUACCCGAGUAGUC
RNAcentral lists this ribosomal RNA (458 nucleotides) under uncultured bacterium. RNAcentral's name for it is "partial 16S ribosomal RNA". It matches the Rfam family "Bacterial small subunit ribosomal RNA", at positions 338 to 795 of the family's 1533-position model. The record is from RNAcentral.